RNAcentral lists this ribosomal RNA (385 nucleotides) under uncultured Lentisphaera sp. Its description in RNAcentral is "bacterial SSU rRNA". It matches the Rfam family "Bacterial small subunit ribosomal RNA", at positions 519 to 902 of the family's 1533-position model. The record is from RNAcentral. Lineage: Bacteria; Pseudomonadati; Lentisphaerota; Lentisphaeria; Lentisphaerales; Lentisphaeraceae.
GGUAAUACGUAGGUGGCGAGCAUUAUUCGGAAUUACUGGGCGUAAAGGGUCCGCAGGGGGUUUAUCAAGUCAGAUGUGAAAUUUCAGGGCUUAACUCUGAACGUGCAUUUGAAACUGAUAGACUAGAGUAUGUGAGAGGUGAGCGGAAUUUGUGGUGUAGCGGUGGAAUGCGUAGAUAUCACAAGGAAGACCAAAGGCGAAAGCAGCUCACUGGCACAAUACUGACCCUCAUGGACGAAGGCUAAGGUAGCGAAAAGGAUUAGAUACCCUUGUAGUCUUAGCAGUAAACGCUGUACACUCGAUGUUGGUCUGGUUAGUCGGAUCAGUGUCUAAGCUAACGCGAUAAGUGUACCGCCUGGGAAGUACGGUCGCAAGACUAAAACUC